This 987-nucleotide small RNA is filed under the name Arabidopsis thaliana (thale cress). RNAcentral's name for it is "ATSL114420". Lineage: Eukaryota; Viridiplantae; Streptophyta; Magnoliopsida; Brassicales; Brassicaceae. The record is from RNAcentral.
UUUCAAAAACAUUAUUAAAUUUGAUAGAAGUGAUAAAAUUUCUAGUUUUUCUACACGUAGACUGGAUGAUAUUGUAACGCAUAUCUAUGUGAAUGGAUAAACACCUGCCCUCAUUUAUAUUUGUCUAUCAUUCAAUGUUGGUUUACAAUUAGAUCAUGUACAAAAAAAACACUAGCAUUAGUGGAUAAUGCGUACGUGUGUGUGGGCGUUACGGGUGACGAUGUCACCUUACUUACCAUCACAUAAUUGUUUGUUCCAACGACUUUAAAUAGAAUUUGGUACACUUCGUCAUAGCUUAUACGCACGACAUCACCCACUGUAACCUGCUUUCUCUUAAAAAAGUAAUUUAUUUAAUCGAAAGCUGAUUUUUAAACACAAGCCAAAAACAAACAGAUCUUGGUGUUCUACUACAGAUAAAUAUGACUACUUUGGUGCAAAGGCUACGUGAACGAUCAGACCCAAAACCUCAAAUAAGUCCAAAGAAGAUGACUUUGUUCGAGAACAAGAUCAGACCACGGAAUAUGUUAAAAAUGGUUAAUCGAAAGUGAAUUGGUUUGUCUUUCAAUUUCAACUAUACGUUUAAUCUGUUCAAUGGAUUGAUCAUGUUCUAGAACAAAAUUAUCUUCAUCAAAAUAAUUUGGUGUAUAAAUAGGUUUACGGCAUGAUCAUAUAAGUUGCCUCUCAACCAAAGUAGCCAUAUUUAUAUGCAUUAAAACACAAUAAGAAUUGUGUCCAAUCAACAAAAUCAAAAUUUUAUAGACAAAUCGUAAUAAUCACUUAGAAAAAUAUCAAUGUUGAUAGUCACAAUUUGAGACAAUUUAGGUCUCAAAACGCUUACUAGAAAAGAUCUACACAACAAACAGAAGUUUGAGAUCCUGAUCAGCGUAUGAAAUUUCAAAAACCUAAGUCGGAAACUCAAUUGAUAUUUGGUGAAUCCUUUAUUAAACAAAGUAGAAGUGUUAUUUAUCAAACAUAAUAACUAGGAUU